CUCGUAGGUGGUUUGUCGCGUUGUUCGUGAAAUCUCACGGCUUAACUGUGAGCGUGCGGGCGAUGCGGGCAGACUUGAGUACUGCAGGGGAGACUGGAAUUCCUGGUGUAGCGGUGGAAUGCGCAGGUAUCAGGAGGAACACCGGUGGCGAAGGCGGGUCUCUGGGCAGUAACUGACGCUGAGGAGCGAAAGCGUGGGGAGCGAACA
RNAcentral lists this ribosomal RNA (207 nucleotides) under uncultured bacterium. RNAcentral describes it as "partial 16S ribosomal RNA". It matches the Rfam family "Bacterial small subunit ribosomal RNA", at positions 568 to 774 of the family's 1533-position model. The record is from RNAcentral.